GCAAGUCGAACGCUCUCGAUCUUCGGAUCAAUGAGGGAGUGGUGAACGUGUGAGUAACACGUACGAAAUCUGCCCCAAAGUUGAGGAUAACCAUUGGAAACGAUGGCUAAUACUGAAUAGGACAUUAUACCGCAUGGUUAAAUGUUUAAAGGUGCGUUUGCACCGCUAUGGGAUGAUCUUGCGCUGCAUUAGCUAGUUGGUAAGGUAACGGCUUACCAAGGCGACGAUGCAUAGCUGGUCUGAGAGGAUGAAC
RNAcentral lists this ribosomal RNA (253 nucleotides) under uncultured bacterium. Its description in RNAcentral is "partial 16S ribosomal RNA". It matches the Rfam family "Bacterial small subunit ribosomal RNA", at positions 57 to 305 of the family's 1533-position model. The record is from RNAcentral.